RNAcentral lists this ribosomal RNA (650 nucleotides) under uncultured bacterium. RNAcentral's name for it is "bacterial SSU rRNA". It matches the Rfam family "Bacterial small subunit ribosomal RNA", at positions 50 to 701 of the family's 1533-position model. The record is from RNAcentral.
UACACUUGCAGUCGAACGGUGAAGAGGAGCUUGCUCCUUGGAUCAGUGGCGAACGGGUGAGUAACACGUGAGCAAUCUGCCCUUGACUCUGGGAUAACUGCGGGAAACUGUAGCUAAUACCGGAUAUUACCUUGGAAGGCAUCUUCUGGGGUGGAAAGAAUUUUGGUCAAGGAUGAGCUCGCGGCCUAUCAGCUAGUUGGUGAGGUAAUGGCUCACCAAGGCGACAACGGGUAGCCGGCCUGAAAGGGUGACCGGCCACACUGGGACUGAGACACGGCCCAAACUCCUACGGGAGGCAGCAGUGGGGAAUAUUGCACAACGGGCGCAAGCCUGAUGCAGCAACGCCGCGUGAGGGACGAAGGCCUUCGGGUUGUAAACCUCUUUUAGUAGGGAAAAAGCGACUGGGUUUUCCUGGAAGUGACGGUACCUGCAAAAAAAGCACCGGCUAACUACGUGCCAGCAGCCGCGGUAAUACGUAGGGUGCAAGCGUUGUCCGGAAUUAUUGGGCGUAAAGAGCUCGUAGGCGGUUUGUCGCGUCUGCUGUGAAAACCCGAGGCUCAACCUCGGGCCUGCAGUGGGUACGGGCAGACUAGAGUGCGGUAGGGGAGAUUGGAAUUCCUGGUGUAGCGGUGGAAUGCGCAGAUAUCAGG